UCGUGCUAGAUAGGGAGCUAGCGGUGCCCUGUAACCCGAAAUCCGCUUAUGCGGGAUUGAAAGUCCUUUAGGAGAAUCUCGAUUUGGGAUUGGACUUUAUUCGUUUUUUGGGGUGGAGUGGAUCUCAUGUGACAGACGCUUAUGAAACCCGUCAGGUCCGGAAGGAAGCAGCGGUAAGUAAGGCAGUCUGUGUCGUGAGCAAGUCUACCCUUUUCCCCUGGCGAUGAGGACAUUUCCAUUCAGGUUUGAAUAGGGAUGCACGA
RNAcentral lists this signal recognition particle RNA (263 nucleotides) under Desulfatiglandales bacterium. RNAcentral's name for it is "signal recognition particle sRNA large type". It matches the Rfam family "Bacterial large signal recognition particle RNA". Rfam says of the family: The signal recognition particle (SRP) is a universally conserved ribonucleoprotein involved in the co-translational targeting of proteins to membranes. Archaeal SRP consists of a 7S RNA and homologues of the eukaryotic SRP19 and SRP54 proteins. In most bacteria, the SRP consists of a 4.5S RNA and the Ffh protein (a homologue of the eukaryotic SRP54 protein). The record is from RNAcentral. Lineage: Bacteria; Pseudomonadati; Thermodesulfobacteriota; Desulfobacteria; Desulfatiglandales.